AGGGUUUGAUCAUGGCUCAGAACGAACGCUGGCGGCGUGGAUAAGACAUGCAAGUCGAGCGCUAUACUUACUGUAGCAAUACAGUAAGUGUGGAGCGGCGCAAGGGUGCGUAACACGUGGGUAAUUUGCCGUAAAGUUGGGGAUAACUCGCUGAAAGGCGAGCUAAUACCGAAUGUGGUUACUGGAUGGCAUCAUCUGUUAACUAAAGCUGGGGAUCGUAAGACCUGGCGCUUUAUGAUAAGCCCGCGGCCUAUCAGCUAGUUGGUGAGGUAACGGCUCACCAAGGCUAAGACGGGUAGCUGGUCUGAGAGGACGACCAGCCACACUGGAACUGAGACACGGUCCAGACACCUACGGGUGGCAGCAGUCGAGAAUUUUUCUCAAUGGGCGCAAGCCUGAAGGAGCGACGCCGCGUGUGGGAUGAAGGGUUUCGAUCCGUAAACCACUGUCAUUUGUGAACAAUGGUUGCUAUUUAAAAGAUGGUAACUUGAUAGUAAUGAAAGAGGAAGGGACGGCUAACUCUGUGCCAGCAGCCGCGGUAAUACAGAGGUCCCAAGCGUUGUUCGGAUUCACUGGGCGUAAAGGGUGCGUAGGUGGCAUGGUAAGUUUGAUGUGAAAGCUCAGGGCUCAACCCUGAAAUGGCAUUGAAUACUACUGUGCUGGAGGUUUGGAGGGGGGACUGGAAUUCUUGGUGUAGCAGUGAAAUGCGUAGAUAUCAAGAGGAACACCAGUGGCGAAGGCGAGUCCCUGGACAACACCUGACACUGAGGCACGAAAGCUAGGGGAGCAAACAGGAUUAGAUACCCUGGUAGUCCUAGCCCUAAACGGUGCGCAUUUGCUGUAGGAGGAAUCGACCCCUUCUGUGGCGAAGCUAACGCGAUAAAUGCGCCGCCUGGGGAGUACGGUCGCAAGAUUAAAACUCAAAGAAAUUGACGGGGGCCUGCACAAGCGGUG
This 954-nucleotide ribosomal RNA is filed under the name uncultured Verrucomicrobiota bacterium. RNAcentral's name for it is "bacterial SSU rRNA". It matches the Rfam family "Bacterial small subunit ribosomal RNA", at positions 8 to 934 of the family's 1533-position model. Lineage: Bacteria; Pseudomonadati; Verrucomicrobiota. The record is from RNAcentral.